Molecule: ribosomal RNA, 207 nt
Filed under: uncultured delta proteobacterium
Lineage: Bacteria; Deltaproteobacteria
Description: partial 16S ribosomal RNA
Rfam family: Bacterial small subunit ribosomal RNA
Source: RNAcentral
CGUGUAGGCGGUUUGAUCAGUCUGAUGUGAAAGCCCCGGGCUCAACCUGGGAAGUGCAUUGGAUACUGUCAGACUUGAAUACGGGAGAGGGCAGUGGAAUUCCUGGUGUAGGAGUGAAAUCCGUAGAUAUCAGGAGGAACACCGGUGGCGAAGGCGGCUGCCUGGACCGAUAUUGACGCUGAGACGCGAAAGCGUGGGUAGCAAACA